GAUGAACGCUGGCGGCGUGCCUAAUACAUGCAAGUCGAGCGAACAGACGAGGAGCUUGCUCCUCUGACGUUAGCGGCGGACGGGUGAGUAACACGUGGAUAACCUACCUAUAAGACUGGGAUAACUUCGGGAAACCGGAGCUAAUACCGGAUAACAUGUUGAACCGCAUGGUUCAACAGUGAAAGACGGUCUUGCUGUCACUUAUAGAUGGAUCCGCGCCGCAUUAGCUAGUUGGUAAGGUAACGGCUUACCAAGGCAACGAUGCGUAGCCGACCUGAGAGGGUGAUCGGCAACACUGGAACUGAGACACGGUCCAGACUCCUACGGGAGGCAGCAGUAGGGAAUCUUCCGCAAUGGGCGAAAGCCUGACGGAGCAACGCCGCGUGAGUGAAGAAGGUCUUCGGAUCGUAAAACUCUGUUAUUAGGGAAGAACAAAUGUGUAAGUAACUAUGCACGUCUUGACGGUACCUAAUCAGAAAGCCACGGCUAACUACGUG
Molecule: ribosomal RNA, 497 nt
Filed under: uncultured bacterium
Lineage: Bacteria
Description: partial 16S ribosomal RNA
Rfam family: Bacterial small subunit ribosomal RNA
Source: RNAcentral